UGUGUAGGCGGAUCGUUAAGUACCUUGUGAAAUCCCACGGCUCAACCGUGGAACUGCUGGGUAUACUGGCGAUCUUGAGCCACCUAGGGGCAACUGGAACAAGCGGUGGAGCGGUGAAAUGCGUAGAUAUCGCUUGGAACGCCAACGGUGAAAACAGGUUGCUGGGGGUGUGCUGACGCUGAGACACGAAAGCCAGGGGAGCGAACGGGAUUAGAUACCCCGGUAGUCCUGGCCCUAAACGAUGUCGACUAGAUCGUAGUGCCUCUGACGGUAUUACGGUCGAAGCAAAAGUGCUAAGUCGACCGCCUGGGAAGUACGGUCGCAAGGCUAAA
RNAcentral lists this ribosomal RNA (332 nucleotides) under uncultured Planctomycetota bacterium. RNAcentral describes it as "bacterial SSU rRNA". It matches the Rfam family "Bacterial small subunit ribosomal RNA", at positions 568 to 898 of the family's 1533-position model. The record is from RNAcentral. Lineage: Bacteria; Pseudomonadati; Planctomycetota.